UUCAGCUGAAAAUUCAGAUUGUUGUUAACAUUUUUCUAUACUAUUUAUAACUACUUUCUUGUUUUAUUUGUUAAGUUGCUCUGGAUACAUUUGUUUUUACAGUAAGUUUCUUCAAUAAAAGAAUUGACUACACAAGUUUUAAGAUGAAGAUAAAAAAUAAAGGCUGUUGCUGUAUAAACCGAUUUAGCACUGUAAGUCUAACAAAUGUUAAAUCAUAUUUUUAACUUUCCUUAACACUAAUGUAACAGGAGUUGUACUGUUUAGAAUUUGUUCUUCAAAUAGGCUAACAGGAGUUUGUUGUGGUUUAACCCAGCAGGUGGCCCAGCACCGCAGUCAUUUGCUCACUUUUGAGAACGAUGGAUAUGUAUGCUUGUAUCUGAAGCUGAAUUUCUGUUCCAGUAAAUUCUGAUCUGCAGAGGUAUCUACUUCCCAUUGAAACUGAUCAGAGCUGCCAGUGACCAGAGACUCUGUAGCUCAGGCCCUCCGGUU
RNAcentral lists this long non-coding RNA (489 nucleotides) under Coturnix japonica (Japanese quail). Its description in RNAcentral is "lncRNA (ENSCJPG00005014896.1)". The record is from RNAcentral. Lineage: Eukaryota; Metazoa; Chordata; Aves; Galliformes; Phasianidae.